This 253-nucleotide ribosomal RNA is filed under the name uncultured bacterium. RNAcentral's name for it is "partial 16S ribosomal RNA". It matches the Rfam family "Bacterial small subunit ribosomal RNA", at positions 524 to 776 of the family's 1533-position model. The record is from RNAcentral.
UACGGAGGGGGCUAGCGUUGUUCGGAAUUACUGGGCGUAAAGCGCGCGUAGGCGGCUUUGUAAGUUAGAGGUGAAAGCCCGGAGCUCAACUCCGGAAUUGCCUUUAAGACUGCAUCGCUAGAAUCAUGGAGAGGUGAGUGGAAUUCCGAGUGUAGAGGUGAAAUUCGUAGAUAUUCGCAAGAACACCAGUGGCGAAGGCGGCUCACUGGCCCGGAACUGACGCUGAGGUGCGAAAGCGUGGGGAGCAAACAGG